This is a non-coding RNA of Ictidomys tridecemlineatus (thirteen-lined ground squirrel), 46 nucleotides long. Lineage: Eukaryota; Metazoa; Chordata; Mammalia; Rodentia; Sciuridae. The record is from Rfam.
CAGAAGGCCCUUCUCAGGGCCACUUACAUUUUAUCUGGAGCAGCUG